UACGUAGGGUGCAAGCGUUAAUCGGAAUUACUGGGCGUAAAGCGUGCGCAGGCGGUUGUGCAAGACAGAUGUGAAAUCCCCGGGCUUAACCUGGGAAUUGCAUUUGUGACUGCACGGCUAGAGUGUGUCAGGAGGGGGGUAGAAUUCCACGUGUAGCAGUGAAAUGCGUAGAGAUGUGGAGGAACACCAAUGGCGAAGGCAGCCUUCUGGGCCAACACUGACGCUCAUGCACGAAAGCGUGGGGAGCAAACAGG
Molecule: ribosomal RNA, 254 nt
Filed under: uncultured bacterium
Lineage: Bacteria
Description: partial 16S ribosomal RNA
Rfam family: Bacterial small subunit ribosomal RNA
Source: RNAcentral